This 348-nucleotide long non-coding RNA is filed under the name Pan troglodytes (chimpanzee). RNAcentral's name for it is "long non-coding RNA NONPTRT011147". The record is from RNAcentral. Lineage: Eukaryota; Metazoa; Chordata; Mammalia; Primates; Hominidae.
AGGCAUGAGCCACUGCUGCCGGCUGAGAAAUGUCCUCCCCCUAGCCCCGCAUCCCACCCAGCCUUGUAGGUGUCUGGUCAUACUGUCCACUAGAGAGCAAAGCGUCUCUGGAGUCUGCAGCAGCAGGUCUGACGAACGAACAAGGGAAGGAGAGAGCCUGCACCCCCACCACUCCCUCAGGGGAGCUUGCCUAAAGUUUGCUACUGAGCAUCCGGACAGAAGCCACUGGCCAGCACUGACGUUCCACGAGGAGCCCAGAGGAUGCGACGAUCAUCUGCCCAUUAUUUUUACUCUCGGACCCCCCACCUCCGGAGUCUGGGGGUCCCUCUGUGUCAGUGGGAACCGGGA